This 465-nucleotide ribosomal RNA is filed under the name uncultured bacterium. RNAcentral describes it as "partial 16S ribosomal RNA". It matches the Rfam family "Bacterial small subunit ribosomal RNA", at positions 28 to 507 of the family's 1533-position model. The record is from RNAcentral.
GACGAACGCUGGCGGCGUGCUUAACACAUGCAAGUCGAACGGAAAGGCCCUGCUUGCAGGGUACUCGAGUGGCGAACGGGUGAGUAACACGUGGGUGAUCUGCCCUGCACUUCGGGAUAAGCCUGGGAAACUGGGUCUAAUACCGGAUAGGAGCCAUUUUUAGUGUGAUGGUUGGAAAGUUUUUUCGGUGUAGGGUGAGCUCGCGGCCUAUCAGCUUGUUGGUGGGGUAAUGGCCUACCAAGGCGGCGACGGGUAGCCGGCCUGAGAGGGUGGACGGCCACAUUGGGACUGAGAUACGGCCCAGACUCCUACGGGAGGCAGCAGGGGGGAAUAUUGCACAAUGGGCGCAAGCCUGAUGCAGCGACGCCGCGUGGGGGAUGACGGCCUUCGGGUUGUAAACUCCUUUCGCUAGGGACGAAGCUUUUUGUGACGGUACCUAGAUAAGAAGCACCGGCUAACUACGUG